This is a non-coding RNA of Drosophila melanogaster (fruit fly), 996 nucleotides long. The record is from Ensembl. Lineage: Eukaryota; Metazoa; Arthropoda; Insecta; Diptera; Drosophilidae.
GGCUGUCUGGACUCUUAAUCCUUGCCCACCCAUGAGCACAGAGGCAGCUGCUCUGGCUGUGCGGAAAUUACGUUGCUGAUGAGCAGCUCUGGGAAAGCGGAAGACGCACGAAGCUUUUCCACCUACAGGAAGUGCGACAAAAUUCAAACAGACUCUGCUCCCGUCUCUGCGCUCCUCUCCCGUCUCCCGUCCCCCAUCCUGCAUCCUGCAUCCUGUAUCCUGCUGGCAAAGCGGAAGCAAAAAAAGCAGAGCGAAAGAGGGAGCCAAGCGCCGGGCGGAGAAUUGAGUGGGCGGCAGUGGUGGUGGGUCAGUGGGUGGCCCUGUGACAGCUCUGGGCUGGCAUAAAUGCGCACACGGCGCAAGGCAAAAAGUUUCCUGGCAGGAGCCAGGACUCCCAAAGAGGAAGUGACUAGUGAGGCCAUGGAAUGGGAAAGGCAUGGUGGGCAGUGGGUGGCUGGGCCCGGGUUUGUUAUCGUCAUUCCCUUCGGCAAACGGAGGGGGCAGAGAGAAAGCUGAGGGCGACGUACUUUAUUUCCUGAAAAUGUCCUCGAAAAUAUGAACAUUAUAUCCCGGAAACGGAAGCUGCAGCAUUUGCAAGGAAGUGACGCAAGGGGCAGGAAGCACAGCACCCGCCCGCCCACCGAGCACAAAACAUUCCGUGGACAUGGACAUGAAUGUGGAUUUGGAUGGGUUGAUUAAAGCGGGUAAACAGCAGCGACAGGAGACCAGGACGACAACGAAACGAGGACGAGCACCAGGACACCGUUGAAAUGUACACACAAGUGAAACAGGACACACACAGCACAGACGAAAAAGCUGCUCAAAUGCAGCAAAUAGCAAAUAUUAAGUACUAAAAUAUAAUUGCAUGUAAGUCAAAAGAUUAAAACUCAACGACCAUGACGGGACUUGAACCCGCAAUUUUCGGAUCAGAAAUCCGACGCCUUAUCCAUUAGGCUACACGGCCACAUCCACCUAUUUUUCAAACAUGUCCUUAUG